AAACCAGCACCUCAAGUGGUCAGGAUGAUUAUUGGGCCUAAAGCAUCCGUAGCCGGCUCUGUAAGUUUUCGGUUAAAUCUGUACGCUCAACGUACAGGCUGCUGGGAAUACUGCAGGGCUAGGGAGUGGGAGAGAUAGACGGUACUCGGGAGGAAGUGGUAAAAUGCUUUGAUCUCUCGAUGACCACCUGUGGCGAAGGCGGUCUAUCAGAACACGUCCGACGGUGAGGGAUGAAAGCUGGGGGAGCAAACCGGAUUAGAAACCCUAGUAGUCC
RNAcentral lists this ribosomal RNA (274 nucleotides) under uncultured bacterium. RNAcentral describes it as "partial 16S ribosomal RNA". It matches the Rfam family "Archaeal small subunit ribosomal RNA", at positions 473 to 747 of the family's 1478-position model. The record is from RNAcentral.